Molecule: ribosomal RNA, 1246 nt
Filed under: Moestrupia sp. M15
Lineage: Eukaryota; Dinophyceae; Gymnodiniales; Gymnodiniaceae
Description: eukaryotic LSU rRNA
Rfam family: Eukaryotic large subunit ribosomal RNA
Source: RNAcentral
UCUCUUAGUAAUGGCGAAUGAACAGGGAACAGUUCAGCAUGGCAAUCGGGGCCCGCGGCCUUGAAUUGUAGUCUUGCGACGCUUUGCCAGCGGAGGCUCAGAUGUAAGGCUUCUGGAAAGGAGCAUCGAAGAGGGUGAGUAUCCUGUUUGUCAUCUGAAUGCUUCCGCAAACAGCAGGCGUUCUGAGAUUCACGUUCCUCGGGAUUGGAGCGCAAAGUGGGUGGUAAAUUUCAUCUAAAACUAAAUAUGGGUUUGAGACCGAUAGCAAACAAGUACCCUGAGGGAAAGGUGAAAAGGACUUUGGAAAGAGAGUUAAAAGUGUCUGAAUUUGCUGAAAGGGAAGCGGAUGAAACCAGCUGUUCUCUGCAAGAUUGUCGCGUGUUUCAGUGCUUGGUAGGUCUCCCAGCGCAAGCGGGGGGCUUGCAGGUAAGCUGUUACGUGCGGUGUCUCUUGCAGGGCAGGUCAAUAUCGGUUCACCUGCGAGGAAAGCACCGGGCACAUGGUAGCUCGCUUCCGGGUGUGUGAAUAUUAUCGGUUGGGCUCACGGGUGCACUGAAGUCGGCGCGUCUGGUUGUCGCAUGCUCUCCUCCCUGCUGGAGCUUCGGUUUCGACUUUGAGGGGGCUGCGCGUCAGUUGCAUGGAUAAUGACCAAAUGGUUUCAUUCGACCCGUCUUGAAACACGGACCAAGGAGUCUAACGUAUGUGCAAGUUCACGGGCGGGAAAACCUGCUUGCGCAAUGAAAGUGACUGCUGGGAUUGUUGCACCAGCAACCGACCAAUCGACUGUGAGAGGUUUGAGUAUGAGCACAUCUGUUAGGACCCGAAAGAUGGUGAACUAUGCCUGAGAAGGGUGAAGCCAGGGGAAACUCUGGUGGAGGCUCGUAGCGAUACUGACGUGCAAAUCGUUCGUCAUACUUGGGUAUAGGGGCGAAAGACUAAUCGAACCAUCUAGUAGCUGGUUCCCUCCGAAGUUUCCCUCAGGAUAGCAGGAGUUGAACAGUCUUAUCAGGUAAAGCGAAUGAUUAGAGGCAUCGGGGACGCGUUGUCCUCGACCUAUUAUCAAACUUUAAAUGGGUAAGAUCCAGGGGUUGCUUGGGUGAACUUCUGGGAUAGAUGACAACUCUAAGUGGGCCAUUUUUGGUAAGCAGAACUGGCGAUGAGGGAUGAACCUAACGUUUGGUUAAGGUGCUUAACUGCUCGCUCAUCGGAUACCAUAAAGGGUGUUGGUUCAUUUUAACAGCAGGAC